CUGGAGGGUGGGUGGGCUCAUAGUCGGAUAGUAUGUGAAAUCUCUGACUAGAGUUUCCACUCAUCCUCGGGUG
Cordylochernes scorpioides is the source of this 73-nucleotide non-coding RNA. The record is from the annotation of a GenBank genome assembly. Lineage: Eukaryota; Metazoa; Arthropoda; Arachnida; Pseudoscorpiones; Chernetidae.